GUUUCCGGGAAUCUGGAACUAGCUGGUAUAAGGCUGGAACUGCUGUUCCACCCGUUUUCUGGAACAAGCUUGUUCCUUGAUGAGAACAAGAUUAAUUAAAAUCUAAAUUUAAUUUUAAUGGCAGUAAAUUAUUAAUUAAUCUAAUUAAUAUAUUUAAAUCAUUAUUUAUUACUUUAAUAAUUAAAUAAUUUAAAUAAUUUAUUAUUUAUAAUUAAAUAUUAAUAAUUAGAUAAUUAUUAUUAUUAAUUUAUUAUUUAUAAUUAAUUAUAAAU
Molecule: long non-coding RNA, 272 nt
Filed under: Ananas comosus (pineapple)
Lineage: Eukaryota; Viridiplantae; Streptophyta; Magnoliopsida; Poales; Bromeliaceae
Description: long non-coding RNA (ACOM_LNC022660)
Source: RNAcentral